UGAGUAACCUGCCCUUAACUCUGGGAUAAGCCUGGGAAACUGGGUCUAAUACCGGACAUGACUCCUCAUCGCAUGGUGGGGGGUGGAAAGCUCCGGCGGAGAAGGAUGAGCUCGCGGCCUAUCAGCUAGUUGGUGUGGGUAACGGCCCACCAAGGCGACGACGGGUAGCCGGCCUGAGAGGGUGACCGGCCACACUGGGACUGAGACACGGCCCAGACUCCUACGGGAGGCAG
RNAcentral lists this ribosomal RNA (233 nucleotides) under uncultured bacterium. RNAcentral describes it as "partial 16S ribosomal RNA". It matches the Rfam family "Bacterial small subunit ribosomal RNA", at positions 118 to 351 of the family's 1533-position model. The record is from RNAcentral.